UCUGUACAAAUACAUGUCCACACUAGCUAUUACAAAACUCUGUACUCUUCCUGUACCCUGCUGAGUUCUCUCUGAUCUCUGAACCUGCACAACUGAAGUUAGGGGAGAGGGAUGAGCUACAAUAGCCCAGUGAGUAGAAUAGGCAAAUACAGGUGAUAAAACAUGCUCUCAUGGAAUGCAACACAGAAUCACAUCACCUCGGCCGGACGGAUCAAAACUCCCUCUAUCUCAUCUGGGGUACCUAAGUACCAUUUGCCUGGUCCCCGUAGGGCUGUUCCAGGUCUUUAUGCCUGGUCCUCGUAAGGCUGUUCCAGGUCUUUCCUCUGAGGGCUAAUGAAUCCUCACGAAGUCCGUGCCGUCUCACAUAAGCAAUGUACAAGGAGCCAUGCCAAGUACAAGGAUAAAUGCAAUGCAUCAUCUUUGUGUACACUAAUGCACUCACCCUAAAGCAUAUUCAUGAUGCAUGAAGUAUGAUAAAAUAUCAGUUUUCAUAUUAAAACAUUAAGUUAAAUUCCACUCACCUGUAGUUCUCUCUGAACUAACUCUGCAGGUUCUGACUCUGGACUCACUGCUGAUGUCCCUGAUUCCUCUGGUCCGUACCUACACAGGUGGACUCAAAUGAGGGACUAAACUCACUCAAGAACAUCUCUAAGAAACUCCCCAAAACCCCUCUAA
Molecule: long non-coding RNA, 675 nt
Filed under: Manihot esculenta (cassava)
Lineage: Eukaryota; Viridiplantae; Streptophyta; Magnoliopsida; Malpighiales; Euphorbiaceae
Description: long non-coding RNA (MESC_LNC008479)
Source: RNAcentral